CACCAGGCGCGAAAACUUUGCAAUGCGGGAAACCGUGACAAGGGAACUCUGAGUGCCCGUUAAAUCGGGCUGUCCAUCGGUUUAAAUAACCGGUGAAGAAAGGGCCGGGCAAGACCGGUGCCAGCCGCCGCGGUAAUACCGGCGGCUCGAGUGGUGGCCACUAUUACUGGGCUUAAAGCGUUCGUAGCUGGUUUGUUAAGUCUCUGGGGAAAUCUUCCGGCUUAACCGGAAGGCGUCUCAGGGAUACUGGCAGACUAGGGACCGGGAGAGGUGAGAGGUACUCCAGGGGUAGGAGUGAAAUCCUGUAAUCCUUGGGGGACCACCUGUGGCGAAGGCGUCUCACCAGAACGGCUCCGACAGUGAGGGACGAAAGCUGGGGGAGCAAACCGGAUUAGAUACCCGGGUAGUCCCAGCUGUAAACGAUGCGCGUUAGGUGUAUCGGUGACCACGAGUCACCGAGGUGCCGAAGAGAAAUCGUGAAACGUGCCGCCUGGGAAGUACGGUCGCAAGGCUGAGACUUAAAGGAAUUGGCGGGGGAGCAC
Molecule: ribosomal RNA, 542 nt
Filed under: uncultured archaeon
Lineage: Archaea
Description: bacterial SSU rRNA
Rfam family: Archaeal small subunit ribosomal RNA
Source: RNAcentral